This 1468-nucleotide ribosomal RNA is filed under the name uncultured Bordetella sp. RNAcentral describes it as "partial 16S-23S ribosomal RNA intergenic spacer". It matches the Rfam family "Bacterial small subunit ribosomal RNA". Lineage: Bacteria; Pseudomonadati; Pseudomonadota; Betaproteobacteria; Burkholderiales; Alcaligenaceae. The record is from RNAcentral.
GGUUUGAUCAUGGCUCGGAACCAGACGCUGGCGGGAUGCUUUACAUACCAAAGUCGAACGGCUGCACGGACUUCGGUCUGGUGGCGAGUGGCGAACGGGUGAGUAAUGUAUCGGAACGUGCCUAGUAGCGGGGGAUAACUACGCGAAAGCGUAGCUAAUACCGCCGCCCUUCGGGGAAAAGCGGGGACGCCUUCGGGCCUACGCACUAUGCGGCAGCGAUAUCGGAUUAGCUGGUUGGUGGGUAACGGCUCGCAAGGCGACGAUCCGUAGCGUGAACGAGAGGACGACCAGCCACUGGGACUGAGACACGGCCCAGACUCCUACGAGCAGCAGUGGGGGUACGGACAAUCGGGAAACCUGAUCCAGCCAUCCCGCGUGUGCGAUGAAGGCCUUCGGGUUUAUGCAAAGCACUUUUGGCAGGAAAGAAACGGCACGGGAUAAUACCCCGUGCAACUGACGGUACCUGCAGAAUAAGCACCGGCUAACUACGUGCCAGCAGCCGCGGUAAUACGUAGGGUGCAAGCGUUAAAUCAGAAUUCUGGGCGUAAAGCGUGCGCGAGCGGUUCAGAAGAAAGAUGUGAAAUCCCAGAGCUUAACUUUGGAACUGCAUUUUAACUACCGAGCUAGGGCAUCAGAGGUGGAAUUCCGCGAUGGUGAAAUGCGUAGAUAUGCGGAGGAACACCGAUAGCGAAGGCAACCUCCUGGGAUAACACUGACGCUCAUGCACGAAAAGACGUGGGAGCAAACGGGAUUAGAUACACUGGUCCCCGCCCUAAACGAUGUCAACUAUGCGGGGCCUUCGGGCCUUGAAAGUAGCGCAACUAACGCGUGAGAUUGACCGCCUGGGAGUACGGUCGCAAGAUUAAAACUCAAAGGAAUUGACGGGGACCCGCACAAGCGGUGGAUGAUGUGGUUAAUUCGAUGCAACGCGAAAAACCUUACCUACCCCAUGAAGCAUGUCUGGAAUCCCGAAAAUUUGGGAGUGCUCGCAAGAGAACCGGAACACAGGUGCUGCAUGGCUGUCGUCAGCUCGUGUCGUGAGAUGUUGGGUUAAGUCCCGCAACGAGCGCAGCACUUGUCAUUAGUUGCUACGAAGGGCACUCUAAUGAGACUGCCGGUGACAAACCGGAGGAAGGUGGGGAUGACAUCAAGUCCUCAUGGCCCUUAUGGGUAGGGCUUCACACGUCAUACAAUGGUCGGGACAGAGGGGUCGCUUCCUUCUAACCCGCGAGAAGACCAAUCCGACGAUCGUAGUCCGGAUCGCAGUCUGCAACUCGACUGCGUGAAGUCAGAAUCGCCAGUAAUCGCGGAUCUGACGUAUCGCGGUGAAUACAUUCCCACGGGUCACCUUACCCCGCACCCGUCCCACCAUGGGAGUGGGUUUUACCGAAGUAGUUAUAGCCCUAACCAUAAGGAGGGCGAUUACCACGGUAGGAUUCAUGACUGGGGUGAAGUCGUAACAAGGUAG